This 2852-nucleotide unclassified non-coding RNA is filed under the name Hevea brasiliensis (rubber tree). The record is from RNAcentral. Lineage: Eukaryota; Viridiplantae; Streptophyta; Magnoliopsida; Malpighiales; Euphorbiaceae.
AGAGAGAGAGAGAGAGAAAAGUAAAAAAAUUAUCAUGGGUAACAGAAAUCCUCCACACUUGCACGAAAACUAAGACUAUCUAUUGAUAAAAUUCUCUAUCAGUAAAAUAAGAUCAGUAAAUACAAGACUAAAACAAUAAAGCAACUAAAUACAUCAAUGAAAUGAACCAAGGGACAUUAAAACAACAUAUUCCAUAAUGUGAAAGCAAUGCAAUCAUAACAAAUUAAAUUGUGACAAUCCUUUAAGCUGAAAAAAUCAAUUGAGAGAUUAUCCUAGCAGCAAAGAAUAUAUGUCCUUGUUUCCCAAAAUAUGCAUGGCAAAUUAAGAGUAACAGUGGAAGCAAUAAAGAAGCAUGGUUUUUUUUUCCUCCCCGCCUUGACGCAAGCAGGUGAUGUAUCAAUUAUGGCACUAUUAAUCAGAGUGGUCAUAAUAGACUUGGAAACAAGAAAAGAUUCAAUUACAAAUACAGCAUUUGAUAUGGCAGUGGAAGGAAAGAUUUGAGUGAGGAGUACAGAGGAGAUUGUAGCAUGUAGGGGGCAGAAUUUUGGUGAAUUGAAUCGAGUAUGCUGUUCAGGUUUUGUUGAGGCUUUAUGAGGAAGUAGCUAACAUUAUGAAAGAGGAUAAGUGACUAAAAGAUUACAUAGCACAAAAGUUGGUGGUAUAUAAUUAUUGCAACAAUUUCAGACUUGCAAUAAACUUUCAAUGCCAGAUGUUUGGAAUGAAACCAAAAAUUCUUGAACAUGGAAAAUAAUUCUCACCUUCCCAUGGCGCCAUAUCUUUUGAGAGGUUUUGACAUGCCUCGAUUGAAUCUGCACGUUGAGGACCAAGUGCCACAUCCAUGAUGUCUUUUGCAACAGCAAAAAUCUGUGCAGCUGACAGUGGUCUAUUCAGUUACAAAUAUGCUGCCCCCAUAUUGGUAAAGAUAUAACCAACUCCAAAAUGCUAAGAACCAAAGCUCUCUUUCAACCUUUCAGCAGCAUUCUCCAAGUAAGGCAUUGCCUGAGCCACCUUACCUGUCAGCAGAAGCGCAGAAACACUUCCUUCUGAGUGCUUUUCUUGUGGAAGCUUCUCAAGCAAAGAAAGUGUUCUCUUUUAACAAUGAAAUUGCCGUUUCAAAUUCAUUCAUAGUUUCAUACUGCAUUGCUAUCUCUGAGUAUGCCUCAGCAACUUCAACUGGAGAAACUGCCUCUUUCUUGUCAAGGAUUCAACAAGCAAUCUCCAGACACCUCUCCAAGUCAGCAAACUUCUCUUAAUUACGCAGAGCUUUUGACAUAGAAAUAAACAGCAAUGCUUGAGUCUAACUGUGUUUUUCUGUCCGCUGAGCAACACCCUUCAGAGUAUUAAUUGCCUCAUCGUACCUGCCCAAUGCUAUCACACAUUCGAAGCAUCAAUUUCUGCAUGAAGCAAAUUUGAACCAAAACCCCAAUUCUUCAAGACCUUCUGUGACAACUAAUUCUGUUCCAAUGCCUUCUGAUGCUCCUCCAACCCAGCGUAAAUGACCCAAGGAAGCCUCCUAUCACGUGCAACCUCCACAGAAUUAUUCCGCAGACCAUCCUAUGUAUAUCCAAGGCCUUCAAACCAAAUGGCAAUGCCUCCUUGAAAUUCAAAACUGCAACAUAGGCCUCUGCCAGUUCCCUAUUUGCCACACCCAAUUCCUUGCUAUCUUUGUCCAAAGUCAUUUAUUUGAUCUCCAAGCACUUCCUAAGAUUCUCUAAAGCCUCCUCGCUCCACCCCAUUGCUGUCUUCACAUUCGCCAACUCUAGCUACACAUGCAGCACUGGCUUGAUAGCCUCUAUCCUACCUAAUGUCCUAUUUGCCCUAUUUAAAUACCCUACGCUAUCAUUAAACCUUUUUAAACUAAAAUUAGCAGAUCCCAUUAAUUGCAAAGCCAUGACAACUAGUAAAGAAGGUUUAUUGUCAUCUUUAUCAAGAACUUUCAAAACUCUACUAGCAAAAAAUAAAGAAUUGUCAGGGUCCUCACCUUCUUGGUCCAGUUUUAAACCAAUUUCAAUGAAGCCAACCCAAGUUCUCUCUUAUCAAAAGAAGCCUCCAUCUCUUUAAAAGCUUGAAGCAUGCAGACUCAAAAGCCCCUUCAAGUUAAUAUUUUCCUUGACUUUUCUCGGCCUAGAGGAGAUUUGAGCAUUUGUUUCAACAAGGGUGUCAAUCUUGGAGUUGGGAUUAGGCCAUUGGUUGAAGUGCAAGGUUUGUGACGAUUGCUAGGUGAGUGAAGCGAAGGCCGAAGAGUAAGAAGAAGGUGCGGCGUUAGAAAUGUAAUUUCCGGAAAGGAAAGGAGUCGGUGCUUUGUUCUUUUGGGGAGUAAGUUGAGAGAGAAGUGAAAUUGAAGCUAUUUUCAUGGUGAUAUUUGACGGGUUACUUAUGUCAUCUAUGGAUAUACUCGUAAAAGUAGCUCAGAGCCAAACCCUUCCAAAACCCUAAAUCUUUGGGUAAUUUUUACCUCCCCAAACUUUUGUUGCUUUCAUUUUCGUACUCAAACUCCAAUUCGUAUUUCAAAAAGAUCCUCCUCACUUCUUCAAAGUCUGCGUCUUUUUCAGCAUAAGGAAAUCAGUCAAAAACCAACACGGAAACAGGCUCUCAUUGUAGACCACCCAUAUUAGAUCUCUAGCUUUGAACUGCUCGUGAUCCUCCUCCACUGCCUAGCACUUGACGAGCCAAAUGUGCCCAGUGAGCAAAGACAAACAGGCGCGAAUACUCCCAUCCCUCCUCCACACACAAAUGGUCUUAUCCGUUGAUCUGCUGAACGACAAAUCCCUUACAACUGAGCUGAGGAAUAGAACCGCAAGUUUCAUUCGUCUUUCCAAGUCUUGUGUAACUGGUGUAAUUGGCGCUUUUAA